AAUGAACGCUGGCGGCGUGCUUUACACAUGCAAGUCGAGCGGAGUCCGACCCAAGGGGCAACCCGAGGGACGGGCUCAGCGGCAAACGGGUGAGUAAUGGACAGGUAACGUACCCCCUAGACGUGGAUAGCUCAUCGAAAGAUGAGAUAAUACGCGAUAAUGUUGCAGGGCGAUGGCUCUGCAAAGAAAGCGGGCGCAAGCUCGCGCUUCCGGAUCGGCCUGUCUCCUAUCAGCUUGUUGGUGGGGUAAGAGCCUACCAAGGCGAUGACGGGUAGCUGGUCUUAGAGGAUGGUCAGCCACAUUGGAACUGCGACACGGUCCAGACUCCUACGGGAGGCAGCAGUGGGGAAUCAUGGUCAAUGGGCGAAAGCCUGAACCUGCGACGCCGCGUGAGUGAUGAAGGUCGUAAGAUCGUAAAACUCUUUUCAGGGACAUUAACGCUCCGGCUCUAACAUAGCCUGGAGUCUGACUCUCCCUGGAAUAAGCCCCAGCCAACUACGUGCCAGCAGCUGCGGUAAUACGUAGGGGGCGAGCGUUAUUCGGAAUUACUGGGUGUAAAGGGUAUGUAGGCGGCCUCACAAGUCGCGUGUCAAAGUCCAGCGCUCAACGCUGGGUUCGCACGCGAUACUGUAUGGCUUGAGGACUGGAGAGGUGAGCGGAAUUCCCGGUGUAGUGGUAAAAUACGUAGAUAUCGGGAGGAACACCAGCGGCGUAAGCGGCUCACUAGACAG
RNAcentral lists this ribosomal RNA (731 nucleotides) under uncultured bacterium. RNAcentral's name for it is "bacterial SSU rRNA". It matches the Rfam family "Bacterial small subunit ribosomal RNA", at positions 28 to 736 of the family's 1533-position model. The record is from RNAcentral.